UCCUGAAGCAAAAUAUGUAGACACAUAUGAGAAAGUCGAUCCAGGGUCAAAUAAUACAAAUGCAAAUCUGAAACAAACAGGGAUAAUACCUAUGAUCAUAGCAUCAGAAGCCUCAGCCUCUGGCUUGGCAGGUAUAACAUAACACUAACCACGACCUCAAGCUAGUAGAGUAGUCCCACAACCACCACCACGGGCUCCACCACCUCUAACUCUUACACCUCUAGUAGUACCUCC
Molecule: long non-coding RNA, 234 nt
Filed under: Capsicum annuum
Lineage: Eukaryota; Viridiplantae; Streptophyta; Magnoliopsida; Solanales; Solanaceae
Description: long non-coding RNA (CANN_LNC015104)
Source: RNAcentral